Molecule: ribosomal RNA, 856 nt
Filed under: uncultured bacterium
Lineage: Bacteria
Description: bacterial SSU rRNA
Rfam family: Bacterial small subunit ribosomal RNA
Source: RNAcentral
UUUUUUAGCACUUUGUCAAAAGCAGGCUCCGAAUUCGCCCUUAGAGUUUGAUCAUGGCUCAGAUUGAACGCUGGCGGAAUGCUUUACACAUGCAAGUCGAGCGGCAGCGCGGGGCAACCUGGCGGCGAGCGGCGAACGGGUGAGUAACACAUCGGAACGUGCCCAGACGUGGGGGAUAGCCCGGCGAAAGCCGGAUUAAUACCGCAUACGAUCUGAGGAUGAAAGCGGGGGAUCGCAAGACCUCGCGCGUUUGGAGCGGCCGAUGGCAGAUUAGGUAGUUGGUGGGGUAAAGGCUUACCAAGCCUGCGAUCUGUAGCUGGUCUGAGAGGAUGAUCAGCCACACUGGGGCUGAGACACGGCCCAGACUCCUACGGGAGGCAGCAGUGGGGAAUUUUGGACAAUGGGCGCAAGCCUGAUCCAGCCAUUCCGCGUGCAGGACGAAGGCCUUCGGGUUGUAAACUGCUUUUGUACGGAACGAAAAGCCCUUCUCUAAUACAGAGGGGUCAUGACGGUACCGUAAGAAUAAGCACCGGCUAACUACGUGCCAGCAGCCGCGGUAAUACGUAGGGUGCAAGCGUUAAUCGGAAUUACUGGGCGUAAAGCGUGCGCAGGCGGUGAUGUAAGACAGAGGUGAAAUCCCCGGGCUCAACCUGGGAACUGCCUUUGUGACUGCAUCGCUGGAGUGCGGCAGAGGGGGAUGGAAUUCCGCGUGUAGCAGUGAAAUGCGUAGAUAUGCGGAGGAACGCCGAUGGCGAAGGCAAUCCCCUGGGCCUGCACUGACGCUCAUGCACGAAAGCGUGGGGAGCAAACAGGAUUAGAUACCCUGGUAGUCCACGCCCUAAACGAUGUCAACUGG